UAGGGAAUCUUCGGCAAUGGGGGGAACCCUGACCGAGCAACGCCGCGUGAGUGAAGAAGGUUUUCGGAUCGUAAAGCUCUGUUGUUAAGGAAGAACGAGUGUGAGAAUGGAAAGUUCAUACUGUGACGGUACUUAACCAGAAAGGGACGGCUAACUACGUGCCAGCAGCCGCGGUAAUACGUAGGUCCCGAGCGUUGUCCGGAUUUAUUGGGCGUAAAGCGAGCGCAGGCGGUUAGAAAAGUCUGAAGUGAAAGGCAGUGGCUCAACCAUUGUAGGCUUUGGAAACUGUUUAACUUGAGUGCAGAAGGGGAGAGUGGAAUUCCAUGUGUAGCGGUGAAAUGCGUAGAUAUAUGGAAGAACACCGGUGGCGAAAGCGGCUCUCUGGUCUGUAACUGACGCUGAGGCUCGAAAGCGUGGGGAGCGAACAGG
Molecule: ribosomal RNA, 429 nt
Filed under: Bacteroidota bacterium
Lineage: Bacteria; Pseudomonadati; Bacteroidota
Description: Bacteroidetes bacterium partial 16S ribosomal RNA
Rfam family: Bacterial small subunit ribosomal RNA
Source: RNAcentral